Molecule: ribosomal RNA, 500 nt
Filed under: uncultured bacterium
Lineage: Bacteria
Description: partial 16S ribosomal RNA
Rfam family: Bacterial small subunit ribosomal RNA
Source: RNAcentral
AUUGAACGCUGGCGGCAGGCCUAACACAUGCAAGUCGAGCGGUAGAGAGAAGCUUGCUUCUCUUGAGAGCGGCGGACGGGUGAGUAAUGCCUAGGAAUCUGCCUGGUAGUGGGGGAUAACGUUCGGAAACGGACGCUAAUACCGCAUACGUCCUACGGGAGAAAGCAGGGGACCUUCGGGCCUUGCGCUAUCAGAUGAGCCUAGGUCGGAUUGGCUAGUUGGUGGGGUAAUGGCCCACCAAGGCGACGAUCCGUAACUGGUCUGAGAGGAUGAUCAGUAAGACUGGAGCUGAGACACGGGCCAGACUCCUACGGGAGGCAGCAGUGGGGAAUAUUGGACAAUGGGGGAAAGAAUGAUCCAGCCAUGCCGAGUGUGUGAAGAAGGUCUUCGGAUUGGAAAGCACUUUAAGUUGGGAGGAAGGGCAGUAAAUUAAUACUUUGCUGUUUUGACGUUACCGACAGAAUAAGCACCGGCUAACUCGGUGCCAGCCGCCGCCGUAA